AAGAGACCAGGUGUAAGUUUGUUUGUUAAGUAUGUUUAUUGUGUUGGCAUUUAACGUGCUAUGGCACUUUAAGAUAUUGAUUCAUAAUUUGUAUACAUUCCCCAAAUAAUAUUAUAAUGAAAUGAAUGAGAUAACUUCUUAUUUGAAUGAGAUCAACAUGACUUUCACCUAUUAAUAUAUAAUUUAUUGAAAAGAUUGAGUUGUCUAAAUUCUCCAAGUGCAAUGUAACAACUUAAUUCUAACAGUUAUCUUACUUAUCUAGCUUGAGAGUUAAGUAGAAUUAAUAGAAAGAGAUUUUGCUUUUAGGUGCAGUUUGAUAUAUUAGAUACUUUGGGAUGUCUAUUAUACAGUUAGUAUGUAUUCAAUUAAAAUAUGUGUAUGUGUU
Molecule: long non-coding RNA, 385 nt
Filed under: Lathyrus oleraceus (garden pea)
Lineage: Eukaryota; Viridiplantae; Streptophyta; Magnoliopsida; Fabales; Fabaceae
Description: Pisum sativum (pea) long non-coding RNA (PSAT_LNC020336)
Source: RNAcentral